This 265-nucleotide ribosomal RNA is filed under the name uncultured archaeon. RNAcentral describes it as "partial 16S ribosomal RNA". It matches the Rfam family "Archaeal small subunit ribosomal RNA", at positions 719 to 982 of the family's 1478-position model. The record is from RNAcentral.
ACACGACUACAUUAGAUACCCGUGUAGUCCCAGCCCUAAACGAUGCGCGUUAGGUGUAUCGGUGACCACGAGUCACCGAGGUGCCGAAGGGAAACCGUGAAACGUGCCGCCUGGGAAGUACGGUCGCAAGGCUGAAACUUAAAGGAAUUGGCGGGGGAGCACCACAACGGGUGGAACCUGCGGUUUAAUUGGACUCAACGCCGGGAAGCUCACCGGAUAAGACAGCGGAAUGAUUGCCGGGCUGAAGACCCUGCAUGACCAGCUG